GAUGAACGCUGGCGGCAUGCUUAAUACAUGCAAGUCGGACGGGCAGUGGUGUUUCUUGUGGCGGUCGGGUGAGCAACGCGCAAGAAACUGCCCUUGGGAGGGGAACACUAGCUGGCAACGGCUGCUAAUACCCCGCGGGCCGAGGAGCAAAUGGAGGAAUCAGCCCGAGGGGGGGCUUGCGUCUGACUAACUAGCUGGAGGAGCAAUAGCUUACCAAGGCGUUGGACAGUAGCUGGUGGGAGAGGGUGAUCAGCCACACUGGGACGGAGCCGAGGCCCAGGCUCCUACGGGAGACAGCAGUAGGGAAGUCUCCGCAAUGGGGGAUAGGCUAACGGGGCAAUGCCGCGGGGAGGUAGAAGGCCCACGGGACGUGAACUGCGUUUCCCGGAGAAGAAGCAAUGACGGUAUCUGAUGAAUAAGCAACGGCUAACUCUGUG
Molecule: ribosomal RNA, 437 nt
Filed under: uncultured bacterium
Lineage: Bacteria
Description: partial 16S ribosomal RNA
Rfam family: Bacterial small subunit ribosomal RNA
Source: RNAcentral